CGACGGCACCCAACAGUCCGGAACAGCCUGAACGCUACUGUAAAAAAAAUACACUCGGCAUCCCAGCACGAGCGUAACUGAAAACUAAACUACCUGGAAUACUCACUAUGAGGAUACUGCAACAGUAUAAAAUAAUACAACGGCCCCUAGGGCUAAAUCAGGUAGUUUACAUGUGCCGGUCGUUAUCGCGUUUUCUCCGAACUCAAAUCCAAGUCUAACAUGUAUGUUUAGGGUUUACUAAUCAUGUUCUCAAAUCGGAUUUCAUCAAGAUAUAAUCGACGAAAUUGAGCUACACAUGAAAUACAAAACUGAAAAUCAUACAUGUCGACUAAUACGAUACGUAGGAAUAAACCGAUGUAACCUACCUCACGAGCUAAUCCCAGGUCCCGAAGCAAAGAAACGCCCGGCUGGAUCAACCAAAAACCUCCAAAGGCCAGAAGUCAAGCUCCCGCCAACUCUACACGUAGAAUCCGGCAAUAAGCAUCAAAUCUGCCUCAAAAACAGCAGCAGAGAAGACUAGAGUUCCGACCCAGCAAACCUUCACCAAAUCCAGCAAAUAAGGGCUUCGUGGAUUCCUCUCGAAGUCCUGAAUCCAACGAACUAAGUUUCGUCGCAAUCCGACACUCCUACGUCGAGAACGAGCUGAAACGCCAACGGUCGACGCUGGAAAAUCUGCAAAUCAGCACUUAGCUCGAAUUUGAUGAUGCUUGGAAAUGAAGAAGCAAUUCGACGGAACACCCACCUUGACAGUGACUAGCACCAGUGCGACGUCAAUAACGGCGAAGAUCCACGCUCGCCCGGCCUCCUUGCGAUGCUACGGCGGCAACCGUAUGCUCAAACGGCUCCGCGGCGCGACGUCGACGGCGAGCCAACUCCCUCGGCAAGCACCACCCGAUCGGCUUCAACCUAGAGAGAGAGAGAAGUUUACAUGAAAACUCCUCUCUCAGCCUCUCUCCACGUAUAUGAAGGAGUGGGGAAGAGGGUGACAACAACGAGGUAAGAAAAAGACCAAAAAG
RNAcentral lists this long non-coding RNA (1016 nucleotides) under Ananas comosus (pineapple). RNAcentral describes it as "long non-coding RNA (ACOM_LNC030369)". The record is from RNAcentral. Lineage: Eukaryota; Viridiplantae; Streptophyta; Magnoliopsida; Poales; Bromeliaceae.